AAUCAAUUGGCUUAUAAUUGAAGUCUGGAAUGAAAGGGAAAUUGGGGUUAGACUGUCUUAUGUAUAAUACCUAGAAAUUACUAAAUAGGUGAAAAUUCCUAUAAGGGGAAAAAAGACGAGAAGACCCUAGAAAUUUUUAAUAAUAAACCACUUUAUUUUUGUUGGGGCGACAGGGUAACAGAAAACUUACCCUACUAUAUAGGCAGUUUAUAAACUGUGCAAUCAAAUUACUCUAGGGAUAACAGCAUAAUAUUUUAAAGAUUGUGACCUCGAUGUUGGACUAGGGAGUAUAAUACUUAAAAGGUAUUAUAGUUGGCU
This 318-nucleotide ribosomal RNA is filed under the name Monacha pantanellii. Its description in RNAcentral is "partial large subunit ribosomal RNA". The record is from RNAcentral. Lineage: Eukaryota; Metazoa; Mollusca; Gastropoda; Stylommatophora; Hygromiidae.